RNAcentral lists this ribosomal RNA (468 nucleotides) under uncultured bacterium. RNAcentral describes it as "partial 16S ribosomal RNA". It matches the Rfam family "Bacterial small subunit ribosomal RNA", at positions 28 to 507 of the family's 1533-position model. The record is from RNAcentral.
GACGAACGCUGGCGGCGUGCUUAACACAUGCAAGUCGAACGGAAAGGCCCUGCUUUUGUGGGGUGCUCGAGUGGCGAACGGGUGAGUAACACGUGAGUAACCUGCCCUUGACUUUGGGAUAACUUCAGGAAACUGGGGCUAAUACCGGAUAGGAGCUCCUGCUGCAUGGUGGGGGUUGGAAAGUUUCGGCGGUUGGGGAUGGACUCGCGGUUUAUCAGCUUGUUGGUGGGGUAGUGGCUUACCAAGGCUGUGACGGGUAGCCGGCCUGAGAGGGUGACCGGCCACAUUGGGACUGAGAUACGGCCCAGACUCCUACGGGAGGCAGCAGUGGGGAAUAUUGCACAAUGGGCGGAAGCCUGAUGCAGCAACGCCGCGUGCGGGAUGACGGCCUUCGGGUUGUAAACCGCUUUCGCCUGUGACGAAGCGUGAGUGACGGUAAUGGGUAAAGAAGCACCGGCUAACUACGUG